AUGGCCGCUUCCCUCUUCCGCCUCUCCCGGCCCCGCCGCGUGCUCCUCCCCUUGUCCGCCCUCCGCCUCCCUCUCUCCACCCAGCCCCUCCCGCAGCCCCGGGACCCGUCCUCCCCCAAUUCCAACCGCGGCCUUCCUGCCUUCCUCUCCUUCCUCGCCGCCGCAGCCGCAGGCGGAAUCACCGGUUCCGUCGCUCUCUGCGAUGCCGCCCCCGACCACCGGGUCGGCGGGAAAGACAGCACCGAGCUGGUGGUGCGUGGGGAGCGCAAGCGCGUGCCACAGCAGUUCAUAGAAGAGCUCGCAUCCUUCCUCGGGGAGAACCUGACGGUGGAUUACGAGGAGAGGAGCUUCCACGGGACGCCGCAGAAUAGCUUCCACAAGGCAGUCAACGUGCCCGACGUCGUCGUCUUCCCAAAGUCCCAGUAUGAGGUACGGAAGAUUGUGAUGACUUGUAAUAAGUACAAGGUGCCAAUUGUACCAUAUGGUGGGGCUACAUCAAUUGAGGGACAUACGUUGGCACCUCAUGGUGGUGUUUGCAUUGACAUGUCUUCAAUGAAGAAAAUCAAAUCUCUGCAUGUUGAGGAUAUGGAUGUUGUAGUUGAACCAGGAGUUGGAUGGAUUGAGCUGAAUGAAUACCUGAAACCCCAUGGUCUCUUUUUCCCUCUUGACCCAGUCCUGGGUUCGACGCAGCCUCUAUGCAUUGCUCUGCGCAGGGGACCUGGAGCCACUAUUGGUGGAAUGUGCGCUACACGAUGUUCUGGUUCAUUAGCCGUGAGGUAUGGAACUAUGCGGGACAAUGUUAUCAAUCUUCAGGCUGUUCUACCAGAUGGCGACGUUGUCAAGACCGGUUCUCGGGCUCGAAAGAGUGCAGCUGGAUAUGACCUAACUCGGUUGAUCAUUGGAAGUGAAGGGACUUUAGGGGUAAUUACAGAAGUGACUUUACGACUUCAAAAGCUUCCAUCUCAUUCCGUGGUUGCUAUGUGCAAUUUUCAAACGGUUAAGGAUGCUGCUGAUGUUGCUAUUGCAUCAAUGCAUUCUGGCAUACAGGUCUCGAGAGUGGAAUUGUUAGAUGAGGUUCAGAUAAGGGCAAUAAACAUGGCAAACGGUAAAAGCUUGCCUGAAGUGCCGACCUUGAUGUUUGAAUUCAUAGGGACAGAAGCAUAUGCACUUGAACAAACACUGUUGGUUCAAAAGAUUGCUGCAGAGCACCAUGGUUCUGAUUUUGUUUUUGUGGAGGAGCCGAAUGCUAAAGAGGAACUGUGGAAGAUCAGGAAGGAGGCACUUUGGGCUGGGUUUGCCAUGAAACCUGAUCAUGAAGCUAUGAUAACGGACGUUUGUGUUCCAUUGUCUAGACUUGCAGAAUGCAUAUCUGUAUCUAAGCAACUACUUGAUGCGUCACCAUUGACUUGUUUGGUUAUCGCCCAUGCCGGUGACGGAAAUUUCCACACAAUUAUCCUAUUUGAUCCAAGCCAGGAGGAAGAGCGAAGGGAAGCAGAGAGACUAAACCAUUUCAUGGUUCAUACUGCUCUGUCCAUGGAAGGUACAUGCACAGGAGAGCAUGGUGUUGGCACAGGGAAAAUGAAGUACCUGGAGAAGGAGCUGGGGAUGGAGUCACUGAGGACGAUGAAAAGGAUAAAGGCCGCGCUGGAUCCCAACAACAUCAUGAAUCCAGGAAAGCUCAUCCCACCCCACGUCUGCAUCUGA
This 1704-nucleotide ribosomal RNA is filed under the name Triticum aestivum (bread wheat). Its description in RNAcentral is "partial small subunit ribosomal RNA". Lineage: Eukaryota; Viridiplantae; Streptophyta; Magnoliopsida; Poales; Poaceae. The record is from RNAcentral.